GAGCAGGUGGCCGAGUGGUUAAGGCGCUGUGUUCAGGUCGCAGUAUCUUCGGAUGCGCAGGUUCGAGUCCUGUCCUGCUCA
Thecamonas trahens ATCC 50062 is the source of this 81-nucleotide transfer RNA. It matches the Rfam family "tRNA". From Rfam's summary of the family: Transfer RNA (tRNA) molecules are approximately 80 nucleotides in length. Their secondary structure includes four short double-helical elements and three loops (D, anti-codon, and T loops). The record is from Rfam. Lineage: Eukaryota; Apusomonadida; Apusomonadidae.